UACAGAGGUCUCAAGCGUUGUUCGGAUUCAUUGGGCGUAAAGGGUGCGUAGGUGGCGCGGUAAGUCGGGUGUGAAAUUUCGGAGCUUAACUCCGAAACUGCAUUCGAUACUGCCGUGCUUGAGGACUGGAGAGGAGACUGGAAUUUACGGUGUAGCAGUGAGAUGCGUAGAGAUCGUAAGGAAGACCAGUGGCGAAGGCGGGUCUCUGGACAGUUCCUGACGCUGAGGCACGAAAGCGUGGGGAGCAAACAGG
RNAcentral lists this ribosomal RNA (253 nucleotides) under uncultured bacterium. RNAcentral's name for it is "partial 16S ribosomal RNA". It matches the Rfam family "Bacterial small subunit ribosomal RNA", at positions 524 to 776 of the family's 1533-position model. The record is from RNAcentral.